GAUGAAGAACGCAGCGAAAUGCGAUACGUAAUGUGAAUUGCAGAAUUCAGUGAAUCAUCGAAUCUUUGAACGCAUAUUGCGCUCUCUGGUAUUCCGGAGAGCAUGCUUGUUUGAGUAUCAGUAAACACCUCAACUUCCAUAUCUUUUUUGAAAUGGGAGUUGGACUUGAGUGAUCCCAACGCUUUUCCUCACCGAAAAGUGGCGGGUUACUUGAAAUGCAGGUGCAGCUGGACUUUUCUCUGAGCUAUAAGCAUAUCUAUUUAGUCUGCCUAAAAAACAGAUUAUUACCUUUGCUGCAGCUAACAUAAAGGAGAUUAGUUCUUGUGCUGACUGAUGCAGGAUUCACAAAGACGGCUUCGGCCGACUUUGUAAACUCGAUCUCAAAUCAAGUAAGACUACCCGCUGAACUUAAGCAUAUAAUAAGCGGAGGA
This 431-nucleotide unclassified non-coding RNA is filed under the name soil metagenome. RNAcentral describes it as "partial contains 5.8S ribosomal RNA, internal transcribed spacer 2, and large subunit ribosomal RNA". The stretch from base 1 to 120 matches the Rfam family "5.8S ribosomal RNA", at positions 35 to 154 of the family's 154-position model. The record is from RNAcentral.